AUGAACGCUGGCGGCGUGCCUAAUACAUGCACGUCGAGCGAACGGACGAGAAGCUUGCUUCUCUGAUGUUAGCGGCGGACGGGUGAGUAACACGUGGAUAACCUACCUAUAAGACUGGGAUAACUUCGGGAAACCGGAGCUAAUACCGGAUAAUAUUUUGAACCGCAUGGUUCAAAAGUGAAAGACGGUCUUGCUGUCACUUAUAGAUGGAUCCGCGCUGCAUUAGCUAGUUGGUAAGGAAACGGCUUACCAAGGCAACGAUGCAUAGCCGACCUGAGAGGGUGAUCGGCCACACUGGAACUGAGACACGGUCCAGACUCCUACGGGAGGCAGCAGUAGGGAAUCUUCCGCAAUGGGCGAAAGCCUGACGGAGCAACGCCGCGUGAGUGAUGAAGGUCUUCGGAUCGUAAAACUCUGUUAUUAGGGAAGAACAUAUGUGUAAGUAACUGUGCACAUCUUGACGGUACCUAAUCAGAAAGCCACGGCUAACUACGUG
This 496-nucleotide ribosomal RNA is filed under the name uncultured bacterium. Its description in RNAcentral is "partial 16S ribosomal RNA". It matches the Rfam family "Bacterial small subunit ribosomal RNA", at positions 29 to 507 of the family's 1533-position model. The record is from RNAcentral.